This is a non-coding RNA of Doryrhamphus excisus (bluestripe pipefish), 3589 nucleotides long. The record is from RefSeq and is a predicted model, not a curated record. Lineage: Eukaryota; Metazoa; Chordata; Actinopteri; Syngnathiformes; Syngnathidae.
GCAGGAGUGUGAUGACGUCAUCGCUUCUCGUGAUUAGCUGUCAGCAUCCACAACUGUAUUACAACUGUAGCAGUUAGCAAGAUAAGAUCAGUUUAGAUCGAUUUAUUAUAUGUAUUUAAACUCACAGUGGUCGACGGUGGCCAAAUAAGUGGUGCAUAUAUACAUACAAGAGCAUAAUUAUCAGCCUUGAAGUGGAUUAAAGGGACACAAGGAGAAUUUGACUGAUCUUAUAUAACUGUUAGCAUUAGCCUCCAUGGCUGCAGGAAAGGACUUGCUGUUGGAAGAGAAACGAGGAGCAACUACAGACUUUGCCUGCAAAGAAGCAGUCAGUGUCAAAUUGAGAUGCACUUCAGCACCUGAACAACGUGAGAACUCCCCUCGCCCUGCACACCCAUCUCCAGCUUAUGCAAGCAUUUCAACAAUUAGAUCACAGGAGAUGCGGACAUACAGUGGAUAGCAGCCAAGCAGGAGUGGAGUGAAGUCCGCACUGAGUCGCAGCUACAUCGUGAUGUGCGGAUAAUAAGGUGAUGCAGCCGGCGUUGGCGCUGUCGGACAAGAGCUCCAGGAGGAACUGCCAAAGUUGGAUCUGCCCUGAACCUGACGAGAAGAAGGAGAAGUGGCGUUGUUCAGUGGGACUCCGCAUGGACGGCCACCUCCGAGUUGAGGGUUCGUUUUGAUACUCCACAGUCUUACCUGGAUUGGCUAGGCGACUACUGGUUGGACCAAGUAUCUGUGUUGCAAGUGCUGCUUACUACCUGGCUGAGCUCUGGGCUGCUCGGCUGUCUUGGUUACAUUCUGAGUCACCACCGGUGAGCCUGCAGGUGAAAAAUGGAGGAAGUGAGGAAGAGUUAGAAUUGGAAUUGGACAUACUGGCUACCAUUCAUUAAGACUGGGAGGCGGUGGAGGUGUGAGAGUGAUGACAGAGGUUGCGUCAGGAAUCGACACACACUGCUUUCAAGGUCAAAGCAAUCCCUUUUCCCAUCAGCGGAAGCAGAAUAUUUGGAAGGAACUCAAGUUGACGAGGCAAGUUUGUAGAAAAAAAAAUACGCAACACUUUUGUUUUUGCUUCCCUUUUUCAUGAGCAGAACUCAAAAGAUGUAGAGAUUUUCUAUGUACACAAAAUACCUCUUUGUGUCCCUCUCUCAAAUAGUGUUCACAUAUCUGUCUAAAUCUGUGUUAGUGAUCCGCCUCUCAGGUGUGCCGUAGGCUGGCUACAAUAAAAGGCCACCCCAAAAGUUCAGCUAAUGAAAAUUAGAGCAAAAACAUGCAAAAUGACACAAACAAUUAAUUUUUGUAUUGUGUAUUAUGUACAAUUUGCAAAUGGUUAUCAUAGUGAACCUGUGUUUAUGAUUAAUCAAAACAAACAAAAAAAAAACAUACAAAUCAUUGAAUUAGUAACUUGAAUACCACAAGGAUUGGAUCCACUUUCAUGGAACUGCUGCAAUCCAAUCAAUCUCUGUGCAAUACUGCCCCCUUGUGGACAAAUAUAUGUUCACACCUUAAUCAAAGGCCAAAUGCUCUCCCAUGUAAGCCUAAAUUAAACCAUUUUAAAGACAAUCCAACUCUUGAACUCUGGAAGUCAACUUUCACUCAUUUCAUAACUUUAAUAAGUUAUUUAAGUGGCUGUUUAAUGUUGGAUGUUAUUUAAUGGGGUCAUUCCUACUGCGGAAUCAUCCUCUUUGAUCUCUGUCAUCUUGUCCGUCUUUUAAAAGUGCCAAUAUGUCACCAAAGGACUCAUUUGGUGAGAGCGAUAUUCAAUGUGUAAGUGUAAAAUAGCAACAGACGGAUCCAAAUACGGACUUCAACUUACAAAAAGGUAAUUAUGAAUGAUAAAAAGAGGCGAGAAAUAGCCGGGUUGAGAAAAAAGGAGCAAAAAAGGGACAAAGAACAAGCGCAGCGCCGUGGCUCGGAGGGCCUGUCAGGUCCAAUCUGGUGGGCCGACAGGAGAGCCGAGGAGCAACGAGUAUAGGGGCGAGUCCUGGGAGACUUGUAUUUCCUGCCUACCUCGCCUGUAGACAACCUCUCUUUGUUUUACUCCCCCCCCCCCCCCUUUUUUUUUUAACCUCCUCAACUCAACGCCAACCCCUAACCACCCCCAAGCCAACACAACAUCCACUCCACACCACCUUUGAAGGAACCCAACAAGGCACAGAAGAUGGCGGAGACAAGGAUGGAGGAAGAACAAGUCAUCAAAGGAAAGAGAAUAUUGGAAAAGAAGACAAAAUGAUUGGAAUUUUAAAGGAAAACAAACUGUGGUUGGGAAUAGCCAAGCUCGUCUUUUCGGGGCGCAUUUCCAACAUGAAAGUACAUCACGUCUGAAAAGGAGUAAGAGGAAGCACAAGUUUGUAUGCUGAAUAAAAGAAAAAAAGGAAUGAAAUCAUCCUCGUAGGUAUUGUAAAGUAGCUGGCAGCAGGUUAAACCACAAAGCACGAUGUCGCAACGCAGCGCUGAAGAAUGAAACAAGAAUGAAGCAGCGCCGCCGCAAAAUGUACAACACCGCAAUCCACUUUUCUGCUGUUUUUGUGGAGCUGACCACGCCGAGCGCUUGCAAAACACGAAGCGAGAAGCAGCGGCUUGUAAAACAUACAAGUGAAGUGAAGGGGGGGGGGUUAAGUAAGUAAGUAAGUAAGCCAGCCAGCCAGCUAGCCCAGCCACGCAGACACGGACCCGAACGUGCAACAACCCCCUCCCUCCUUUGCCUUCAUUUUUCCAGGCUUUGCUCUGACGGCGACUCCAGCCAUGUUUCCACUCUUGUCUGGGGCGUGGUGCACGCUCCUGGGAGACUUUGACUGCACGACCAGUUAGUCAAAACAAGGCCUGAGUGCUAGACGGAGAGGGCCAGGAAGGUGCAAAGACAACAGGGUUGCAAUCAUAGCACUAACCGAGAGGGCGUUCUACAUACUGUGUAGUACGUGAAAGACAACGAGAGAAAUUCAAGCCAUGUCGAGUCACGCUAUGGCUGAAACACAUGGGCAAGAAAAAGCGGUAGCCUUGACUCAGCCUUCUGACUGACUUUUUAAGGCACACAGAAUAUUGCAUAGUAUGACUUUAUAAACAUGAUACCUACCAAAAGAAAGGUUCAUCACAAAAAAAAGUUUGUUUCUACCCUUUUCCGUUUGUUCUGUUCCAAUAAGUUUCAGGAAAAUAUCAGUUCCCGACUAAAAAAAAAAAAAGCUUUUAGUGAAAAGAAAAUUUAUAUUAUAUUCAUUCAUUUUCUACCGCUUCUCCUCACAAGGGUCGCAGGGGGUGCUGGAGCCUAUUCCAGCUGUCUUUGGGCGAGAGGCGGGGUACACCCUGGACUGGUGGCCAGCCAAUCACAGGGCACAUAUAGACAAACAACCAUUCACCAUUCAUACCUAUGGACAAUUUGGAGUCGCCAAUUAACCUAGCAUGUUUUUGGAAUGUGGGACGAAACCGGAGUACCCGGAGAAAACCCACGCAUGCACGGGGAGAACAUGCAAACUCCACACAGAGAUGGCCGAGGUUGGAAUUGAACUCAGGUCUCCGAGCUGUGAGGCCUGCAUGCUAACCACUCGUCCGCCGUGCAGCCCAAAUACUAUAUAUCUAGCCUUGCUAGCUACUCGUACCA